Molecule: ribosomal RNA, 1427 nt
Filed under: metagenome
Description: bacterial SSU rRNA
Rfam family: Archaeal small subunit ribosomal RNA
Source: RNAcentral
GUUGAUCCUGCGGGAGGCUGCUGCUAUUGGGAUUCGACUAAGCCAUGCAAGUCCAGGGGUUCUUCGGAACACCGGCGAAAUGCUCAGUAACACGUCGAUAAUCUACCCUUAGGUUCAGGAUAACCUUGGAAAACUGAGGCUAACACUGAAUAGGGGAAUAAAUCUGGAAGGAUUAUUCCUUUAAAAGCAAUGCCUAAGGAUGAGUCGGCGGCUGAUUAGGUUGUUGGUGGGGUAACGGCCCACCAAGCCAGCGAUCAGUAGGGGCUUUGAGAGAGGUAGCCCCGAGAAGGGCACUGAGAUACUGGCCCUAACCCCACGGGGUGCAGCAGGCGCGAAACCUUUACAAUGCACGAAAGUGUGAUAAGGGAAUCCCAAGUGCUUAUGCAAUGCAUAGGCUUUUUGCCAAGAAUAAAUCUCUUGGCGAAUAAGUGGUGGGAAAGACUGGUGCCAGCCGCCGCGGUAACACCAGCGCCACGAGUGGUGGCCACGUUUAUUGGGCCUAAAGCGUCCGUAGCCGGAUUAGCAAUCUUUUGUGAAAUUGUUAAGCUUAACUUAACAGCGUGCAGAAGACACUGCUGAUCUUGGGACCGGGAGGAGUCAGAAGUAUUCCUUGGGGAGCGGUAAAAUGCUAUAAUCCUUGGAAGACUACCUGUGGCGAAGGCGUCUGACUAGAACGGAUCCGACGGUGAGGGUCGAAAGCCAGGGGAGCGAACCGGAUUAGAUACCCGAGUAGUCCUGGCCGUAAACGCUGUGAGCUAGGUGUUGCAUAUUCUAUAAGAAUAUGCAGUGUCGAAACGAAGGUGUUAAGCUCACCGCCUGGGAAGUACAGUCGCAAGACCGAAACUUAAAGGAAUUGGCGGGGGAGCACCACAAGGGGUGCGGCGUGCGGUUUAAUCUAACUCAACGCAGAAAAUCUCACCAUGGGCGACGGCAGGAUGACAGUCAGGCUAAAGGUCUUACUUGACAAGCCGAGAGGUGGUGCAUGGCCGCCGUCAGCUCGUGCCGUAAGGUGUCCUGUUAAGUCAGGUAACGAGCGAGACCUGUACCCACAAUUGCUAACGACCUCUGGGAUCGAGCACUAUGUGGGGACUGCCUUGGAAACAAGGAGGAAGGCGCAGGCAACGGUAGGUCUGUAUGCCCCGAAUCUCAUGGGCUACACGCGCGCAACAAUGGUUGGGACAAUGGGAUACAACUCCGAAAGGAGAAGUUAAACCUCUAAACCCAAUCUUAGUCCAGAUUGAGGGUUGUAACUCACCCUCAUGACGAUGGAAUCCCUAGUAAUCGGAUUUCACUACAGUCCGGUGAAUAUGUCCCUGCUCCUUGCACACACCGCCCGUCAAACCACUCGAGUAGGGUCUAGAUGAGGAUUAGAUUCUUAUCUAAUACGAAUCUAAGCUCAGCGAGAUGGGUUAAGUCGUCACAAGGUA